RNAcentral lists this ribosomal RNA (497 nucleotides) under uncultured bacterium. Its description in RNAcentral is "partial 16S ribosomal RNA". It matches the Rfam family "Bacterial small subunit ribosomal RNA", at positions 28 to 507 of the family's 1533-position model. The record is from RNAcentral.
GACGAACGCUGGCGGCGUGCCUAAUACAUGCAAGUUGAGCGCUGAAGGUUGGUACUUGUACCAACUGGAUGAGCAGCGAACGGGUGAGUAACGCGUGGGGAAUCUGCCUUUGAUCGGGGGAAAAUAUUUGGAAACGAAUGCUAAUACCGCAUAAAAACUUUAAACAUAAUGUUGAAGGUUGAAAGAUGCAAUUGCAUCACUCAAAGAUGAUCCCGCGUUGUAUUAGCUAGUUGGUGAGGUAAAGGCUCACCAAGGCGAUGAUACAUAGCCGACCUGAGAGGGUGAUCGGCCACAUUGGGACUGAGACACGCCCCAAACUCCUACGGGAGGCAGCAGUAGGGCAUCUUCGGCAAUGGACGAAAGUCUGACCGAGCAACGCCGCAUGAGUGAAGAAGGUUUUCGGAUCGUAAAACUCUGUUGGUAGGGAAGAACGUUGGUGAGAGUGGAAAGCUCAUCAAGUGACGGUAACUACCCAGAAAGGGACGGCUAACUACGUG